This 232-nucleotide long non-coding RNA is filed under the name Marmota marmota marmota (Alpine marmot). RNAcentral describes it as "lncRNA (ENSMMMG00000005143.1)". Lineage: Eukaryota; Metazoa; Chordata; Mammalia; Rodentia; Sciuridae. The record is from RNAcentral.
UAAAAAUGUGAUUUCGGAGGAGCUUGAGCGAAGAGUAUGAAGUGAGCAUGCUCCGACAUUCAAAGAACCCCUUUCCGAAAGCUACUUUGCUACGAUGAGGAGUCAAGGAAAUAAGAUUCCAGCCAAAAAGAUUCGUAUCAAGGUAACUUCAAAGCGAAAAGGCCACAGCGGGCAUAAAAUGGGCAAAAUGGAAGGACUGAGACAUUGGGAAUGGAAGUGGAGUUCUGGCUAA